GGCUCAGAAUGAACGCUGGCGGCGUGCCUAAUACAUGCAAGUCGAACGGGAAGCCUGUUUUCGGAUAGGUGGAGAGUGGCGCACGGGUGAGUAACACAUGGCUGACCUGCCCUUCAGACGAGGACAACCGGUGGAAACGCUGGCUAAUACUCGAUACGUUCGGGGGAGUUAGAGACCCCUGAAGAAAGCGUUUAGCGCUGAAGGAGGGGGCUGUGGCCCAUCAGCUAGUUGGUAAGGUAACGGCUUACCAAGGCGAGGACGGGUAGGGGGCCUGAGAGGGUGACCCCCCACACGGGUACUGGGACACGGACCCGACUCCUACGGGAGGCAGCAGUAAGGGAUAUUGCGCAAUGGGCGAAAGCCUGACGCAGCAACGCCGCGUGGAGGAUGACGGCCUUCGGGUUGUAAACUCCUUUUCUGUGUGAAGAGGAAGGACGGUAGCACAGGAAUAAGUCUCGGCUAACUACGUGCCAGCAGCCGCGGUAAAACGUAGGAGGCGAGCGUUAUCCGGAUUUACUGGGUGUAAAGCGCGUGCAGGCGGUGUCGUAAGUCGUGUGUGAAAGCGCUCAGGCUCAACCGGGCGAGGCCAUGCGAAACUGCGGCACUAGAGGUAGGUAGAGGUAUGUGGAAUUCCGGGUGUAGUGGUGAAAUGCGUAGAGAUCCGGAGGAACACCAGUGGCGAAGGCGACAUACUGGACCUGACCUGACGCUAAGACGCGAAGGCAUGGGGAGCGAACGGGAUUAGAAACCCCGGUAGUCCAUGCCGUAAACGAUGUGUACUAAGUGUUG
This 789-nucleotide ribosomal RNA is filed under the name uncultured Chloroflexota bacterium. RNAcentral describes it as "bacterial SSU rRNA". It matches the Rfam family "Bacterial small subunit ribosomal RNA", at positions 21 to 825 of the family's 1533-position model. Lineage: Bacteria; Bacillati; Chloroflexota. The record is from RNAcentral.